GUUCGAGCGUCAUUACAACCCUCAAGCCCAAGCUUGGUAUUGGAUGUCACCACUUGGUGCGUCUCAAAAGCAGUGGCGGUGCCAUUCAGCUUCAAGUGUAGUAAAUCUCUCGCUUCUGGAGUGUGGGUGCUGUACCUGCCAAAAACCCUAAAUAAUCAAAGGUUGACCUCGGAUCAGGUAGGGAUACCCGCUGAACUUAA
Molecule: unclassified non-coding RNA, 200 nt
Filed under: soil metagenome
Description: partial contains internal transcribed spacer 2 and large subunit ribosomal RNA
Source: RNAcentral